Molecule: long non-coding RNA, 1976 nt
Organism: Piliocolobus tephrosceles (Ugandan red Colobus)
Lineage: Eukaryota; Metazoa; Chordata; Mammalia; Primates; Cercopithecidae
Source: Ensembl
AUGGCGUACUUUUUUUUUUUUUUUUUUUUUUUUUUUUUUAGCAACGAUAAUUACAAGGUUUUAAUAAAUGCUUCUGAUAAUAUGAGUUUGGGAGUUCCCUUUUUUUUAGAUAAAUAUAUAAUAUUUAAUGAUGCUCAUAAAAGGAUAAACAUAUUUGAAGCUUCUCCUAUGAGCAGCAAAAUUAGUGAAGAUUAUUCUAUGUUGAAUUUAAUUCAAAAUAAAACAGAUAGAUUUAACAAAAGAUUUAGGUCGUCAACACAAAGAAAUGAAAAUAAUGAAAAAGGAGAAAUAUAUGGAGCAAAUGUAGAAGAAGGCGAAGUGCAUGAAAAUGAAAAUGAAAAUGAAGAUGAAGAAGGUAAAAAUAAAGAUGCAGAGGAAAUACAAAUAAAAAUAAAAGAACCAUAUGUCGACAUGGCAGAAAACAUAGCGGCAGAAGAAAAGGUUAAAUUAGAAAUAGAAGCAAAAGAAAAAGCAGCGGAAGAAAUAAAGGCUAAAUUAGAAAAAGAAACAGCGAAAAAAGAAGCGGUAGAAAAAGCAGCAGAAAAAGAAGCAGCAGCAGAAGAAAAAUAUAAAUUAGAAAAAGAGGCAGCAGAAAAUGCAGCGGAAGAAGAAAAGGCUAAAUUAAAAAAAGAAGCGGCAGAAAAGGCAGCAGCAGAAAAGGCAAUGGAAGAAGUAAAUGCUGAAUUAGAAAAAAAAGCAGCGGAAGAAGAAGUGGCAAAAAAAGCAGCGGAAGAAAAGGAAGCAGCAGAAAAAAGGGCUAAAUUAGAAAAUGAGGCAGCAAAAAAAGCAGCUGCAGAAGAAAAAGCUAAACUAGAAAAAACAGCAUCGAAAAAUACAGAGAACGAAAAAAUAACUAAAUUAGAAAAUGAAGAGGCAGAAAUACAAAUAAUAUUAAAAGGAUCAGAUGAAGAUGAAAGUGGGCCUACAAAGGCGACAGUAGUAGGAAUGUCAGGCGUAGAAAAUAUACAAAAAACAAAUCUAGAAAAAAAAAUUAAAGAUAAAGCAAGUGAACUUAUGAAAGCAAACAUCAAAGUAGUAAAAGCUAUAUCAGAAGCAGAACAGGCAGGAGAAGCAGUUAAAAAUGCAAAGCAUGAAGAAGAUAAUGCUAUAACAGCAACAUAUAAAGCAAAAAUAGCUGAAAAGGCAGCAGAUAAAGAUGCAAAGGACAAAGCAGCAGAGGCUGAAACAGCAAAAAAUGCAAUAGAAGGAAAAACUGGGGAAGAUAAAACANNNNNNNNNNAAACAGCAAAAAAUGCAAUAGAAGGAAAAACUGGGGAAGAUAAAACAACGGCAGAAUCAGAAGCGACACAAAAAAAAAAUGAAGCAGAUGAUGCAAAAACUAAAGCAGAACAAGCUAAAUUAAAAGCAGAUCAAGCAGUGGCUAAAAAAGAAGCGGCUAUAAAAGAAGCGAAAAUUAAAAUAGCAGCAGCUAAAGUAGCAAAAGCUAUGGUAAAAGUAGCUGAAGCAGAAGCAUCUCUAGCAAGAGCAGAAGUAAAUGCGGCAAAUCUAGCAGUAAAUGUUAUGGAAGAAGAAGAAAAGAAAAAAGAAGCAGAUCAAGAAAAGAUUGCUAAAGAAGCGGCAUAUAAACAAGCAACAGAAAAUGUAAAAGGAAAAGUAGGGCAAGAACUAACAGACGCAAAAACAGAAGAGACAACAAAAAAACAAGAAUUUGAUGAUGCAAAGAAUGAGGCUGAUAAAGCUAAAAAGACAUAUGAUACUAAAAAAAAAGCUAAACAGGCGGCAGAUGAUCAAGUGCAAAAGAAAAAAGAAGAACUUAAAGUAGCAGAAGCUGAAGCAGCAACAGCAGGAAAAGAAGAUGAUGACCAGGGCUUUAUUGCAAAAUAUAAAAAACCCUUGAUAGCAUGUGGUAUUUUAGGUACAAUGGGACUUAUCCUGUCUAGUGUUUUUUACUUAAUGUAAAAUUUGAAAAAGAGAAAAAAAAUAAUUAAUAAAAAGUAGGAAAAGGUUUAUUCCCA